CAACCUGCCCACCACUUGGGGAUAACCUUGCGAAAGUAAGACUAAUACCCAAUGAUAUCUCUAGAAGACAUCUGAAAGAGAUUAAAGAUUUAUCGGUGAUGGAUGGGGAUGCGUCUGAUUAGCUUGUUGGCGGGGUAACGGCCCACCAAGGCGACGAUCAGUAGGGGUUCUGAGAGGAAGGUCCCCCACAUUGGAACUGAGACACGGUCCAAACUCCUACGGGAGGCAGCAGUGAGGAAUAUUGGUCAAUGGGCGAGAGCCUGAACCAGCCAAGUAGCGUGCAGGAUGACGGCCCUAUGGGUUGUAAACUGCUUUUAUAAGGGAAUAAAGUGAGUCUCGUGAGACUUCUUGCAUGUACCUUAUGAAUAAGGACCGGCUAAUUCCGUGCCAGCAGCCGCGGUAAUACGGAAGGUCCGGGCGUUAUCCGGAUUUAUUGGGUUUAAAGGGAGCGCAGGCCGGAGAUUAAGCGUGUUGUGAAAUGUAGACGCUCAACGUCUGCACUGCAGCGCGAACUGGUUUCCUUGAGUACGCACAAAGUGGGCGGAAUUCGUGGUGUAGCGGUGAAAUGCUUAGAUAUCACGAAGAACUCCGAUUG
RNAcentral lists this ribosomal RNA (595 nucleotides) under uncultured Bacteroidota bacterium. Its description in RNAcentral is "bacterial SSU rRNA". It matches the Rfam family "Bacterial small subunit ribosomal RNA", at positions 122 to 715 of the family's 1533-position model. Lineage: Bacteria; Pseudomonadati; Bacteroidota. The record is from RNAcentral.